UUUGCUUUUUAGUAGUGUUGCUGAGAGGAGAGGCGACACAAACCAUUGGUAGUUGUUUGCUUCCUGUUAUAUACGUACCGGGAUCUGAGGAUAGUGUUCCUCCCUUUUCUGUGAUCAUCUACAUAUGAUGCAACAGUUGUCUUUGCAUCUCCACUGGGUGGUGGUUACACCCUUUCGUAUGUGAAUGCUUUUGGCUAAUGCUACUAUCUGUUGCUUAGUUAUUUAGUGUGUUCUGUCAUGUGGUGUGUUUUCUAAGGAAAAAAAUUGUAUAUUCCUAGUUUACCACUGCUCUGCUCUUCUUUUAUUAUUAGGACUAUAAGAAUAAUAUUGACAUUUUUCCACCAAUACAUGAGUUGCACAGGAUCAUAUGCGCCAAGGCGCACCACUAAAUAACUAAGCAUCUGCCGCCAGCCUCCAGCGGGGUCCGGAAGAAGGUGGGCGCGAAGGGGCGGAGCAGGUGCGUGUACUGGAGGAAGGAGGCGGCGGCGCGACUGGGUCAAGGCCGUCGUCCCCGACCUGUCCUUGACCAUCACGGUCAUCCUCGACCUCCUCAACCAGCAUGAGCAAGAGGAGUGGCCUAACUGUCGCCAAGAGGAGCUUCUGGUGCCCGUCUGGAGCUCUUCCCUUCGACUUCGUGGCCUGCUCUGCCUCUUUGUUGUCACCGAGGACACCCGACAGCGGCACAACAGGCUCUUCUUCAAAGAAUACCAUCAGUGCAUGCAUGACUUCCCAGUGGGAUAUGUAGAACAUUUAAGGGAGCACUGAGCCAACAAUUUCACAACCAGGGAUAAUGUCACCAUGCUCCAACAUGCCCUUGUUUCUAGGAGGCUUGAGUGAUUGCUGAAAAUGAGUCAACGAGUAUGUGGGAGUAGUAGCGCACUCUUCAGCAUAGGGGAGCAUGAACCACCGAGACGGAUUCAUCAUCAUCGUCAUCAUCGCGUCAGAGGCAGAGGGUACGGAGGAUCCUAGGUCUCAUCUCUCUCGGAGGAUCAAAUGUCUCUCUCUCU
Lolium perenne is the source of this 1007-nucleotide non-coding RNA. The record is from RefSeq and is a predicted model, not a curated record. Lineage: Eukaryota; Viridiplantae; Streptophyta; Magnoliopsida; Poales; Poaceae.